Molecule: long non-coding RNA, 412 nt
Organism: Lutra lutra (Eurasian river otter)
Lineage: Eukaryota; Metazoa; Chordata; Mammalia; Carnivora; Mustelidae
Exons: 3
Source: RefSeq, a predicted model, not a curated record
UUUAAAACAGGAGAUCCCCUGUUUUCAUUUUAUGCAGGGCCCUGCAAUUUGUGGGUCUGCUCCUGGCUGAAGGCACCUCCAACUAUCAAUCAGCUGUCAUCCAGGACAAGAUUUUGUAGACAUCAUGGCUCUCAGUGGCUAAAGCCCAGCCCCAGCCCCUGUCCCAACAAAUUGAAAAACUGAAUGCCAGGAAAAUCCACCUUUCAGUUAAAAGAUGUGUUGGAAGACAAGUUGUUCUUUGAAAUGAUGUAAAGAGGAAUCUGAGGGAGACGAGGUAGACCAGACACCUGGAGGCUCCUGGAAUUUUGGAAUUCUGGUUCAGGUACUCACUGAAUUUGAAGAAAGAGCAGAGGAAUAAGUCAUCCAUGAAAAUAAGUCUUGGUCUAUUACCCUAGAACAAAGAGAAAUCAGG